Oncorhynchus gorbuscha (pink salmon) is the source of this 1106-nucleotide long non-coding RNA. RefSeq lists it as uncharacterized. The transcript is spliced from 3 exons. NCBI's taxonomy places the organism in Eukaryota, Metazoa, Chordata, Actinopteri, Salmoniformes, Salmonidae. The record is from RefSeq and is a predicted model, not a curated record.
AGCCAGCUUGAGCUAGCUACGAAGCUAGCAUACAAACUCAGUAGUACAGAGUAGAUCCUCCAUAUGACGUUGAGAAAUAGUGCAUUGUGGGUAGUUUAGAAGAUAUCCGGAAAUAAGUUAACAAAUAUAUAAUAACCCAAAAACAUAACUAUGUUUGUAGUAUAGGUAACCAGAUUGUGACUACAACUAAGUGUUUGACCACACUGUGUUGUUACAUUGCACAGAGGUAUAUUGUCCACUUUGAUGGUGCAGGAUAAUAUCAAAUACCCUCCUGGCUGCUGAGUUGAAAUGAAAGAAAAAUAGGCGGGGGUCUAUAAAAAUGAAGUUGGAAGGUGAGUGUGUGCUGAGACGAGGGAAGGCCCAACAGGAGAGGCAGAUCAGUCGUAACGGACAUGCAUGGACAUAUGAGGGAAAAACAAACCCUUCUUCUAAAAAGAGCAAUCAACUAGCCUAGCUAGUUUGUGUUUGUUUGUAAUCUCUCAUGAUGGUGAAUGAUACAGAGGAAAUGUGCUUUGAUGCUGGGGGCAGUUUGUAUCUUUUCGAUGCAGAGUUACCGAAUGAUUAUUCUCUCACUUGGGGAGAGCUUCAGUGGUUGAGGAGAGCGAUAUAGCAGUCUGAUGCUUUUUCUCUUGUUUUUAAGAGUACAAUUUAAAGAAAUGUGCAUUAAAGGCACAGUGCAGUCAAAACUAAGAUUUUUCUGUGUUUGAUAUAUAUUUCCACACUGAGCUUGGAAUAAUACUGUGAAAAUGUGAAAAUUAUGAUCAUGCUCUUUUAGUGUAAGAGCUACUUGAAAAGACCGCCUGAAAUGUCAGCCUGUUUUGGUGAUGUGGAAUUUUGGCCUUUCAUGUUGCCAUCAUCAAGCAGUAAAUUACUUAAUUAAUAGAUCAAUAAGAAAGACAGUUCCAAACCUCUCUGCCAAUAACAGCUAGUAUUAGUUUUCUCCUCCCCACGCAGACCACUCCCAGACAGUCUUAGCAAAAUUCUUGCUUUAGAAAUUGCUCUUUGCUAAGAAAACAAUCACAGCAAGGUACUUCAUUGUUACCCAGAAAUGAUUUGAUCUUGAGAAAAAAUGGUUCCAUUACAACUUUAAAGUAAGUAAAAGUAAA